GACGAAACGCUGGCGGCGCGCCUAACACAUGCAAGUCGAACGAGAGAUGAGGAGCUCGCUCUCAAAUCGAGCGGCGAACGGGUGAGUAACGCGUGAGGAACCUGCCUCAAAGAGGGGGACAACAGUUGGAAACGACUGCUAAUACCGCAUAAGCCCACGGCUCGGCAUCGAGCAGAGGGAAAAGGAGCAAUCCGCUUUGAGAUGGCCUCGCGUCCGAUUAGCUAGUUGGUGAGGUAAUGGCCCACCAAGGCGACGAUCGGUAGCCGGACUGAGAGGUUGAACGGCCACAUUGGGACUGAGACACGGCCCAGACUCCUACGGGAGGCAGCAGUGGGGAAUAUUGCACAAUGGGGGAAACCCUGAUGCAGCGACGCCGCGUGGAGGAAGAAGGUCUUCGGAUUGUAAACUCCUGUUGUUGAGGAAGAUAAUGACGGUACUCAACAAGGAAGUGACGGCUAACUACGUGCCAGCAGCCGCGGUAAAACGUAGGUCACAAGCGUUGUCCGGAAUUACUGGGUGUAAAGGGAGCGCAGGCGGGAGAACAAGUUGGAAGUGAAAUCCAUGGGCUCAACCCAUGAACUGCUUUCAAAACUGUUUUUCUUGAGUAGUGCAGAGGUAGGCGGAAUUCCCGGUGUAGCGGUGGAAUGCGUAGAUAUCGGGAGGAACACCAGUGGCGAAGGCGGCCUACUAGGCACCAACUGACGCUGAGGCUCGAAAGUGUGGGUAGCAAACAGGAUUAGAUACCCUGGUAGUCCACACCGUAAACGAUGAUUACUAGGUGUUGGAGGAUUGACCCCUUCAGUGCCGCAGUUAACACAAUAAGUAAUCCACCUGGGGAGUACGACCGCAAGGUUGAAACUCAAAGGAAUUGACGGGGGCCCGCACAAGCAGUGGAGUACGUGGUUUAAUUCGACGCAACGCGAAGAACCUUACCAAGUCUUGACAUCCCUUGACGAACAUAGAAAUAUGUUUUCUCUUCGGAGCAAGGAGACAGGUGGUGCAUGGUUGUCGUCAGCUCGUGUCGUGAGAUGUUGGGUUAAGUCCCGCAACGAGCGCAACCCUUAUGGUCAGUUACUACGUAAGAGGACUCUGGCCAGACUGCCGUUGACAAAACGGAGGAAGGUGGGGAUGACGUCAAAUCAUCAUGCCCUUUAUGACUUGGGCUACACACGUACUACAAUGGCGUUAAACAAAGAGAAGCAAGACCGCGAGGUGGAGCAAAACUCAGAAACAACGUCCCAGUUCGGACUGCAGGCUGCAACUCGCCUGCACGAAGUCGGAAUUGCUAGUAAUCGUGGAUCAGCAUGCCACGGUGAAUACGUUCCCGGGCCU
Molecule: ribosomal RNA, 1332 nt
Filed under: uncultured bacterium
Lineage: Bacteria
Description: bacterial SSU rRNA
Rfam family: Bacterial small subunit ribosomal RNA
Source: RNAcentral